AGUGUGACCGUCAAGAGAGGGGAGUAGUGCGGGCGAGUUGAAAUGAAUUCGCCAAUAUGUGGUCAUUUAGAGGAAGUAAAAGUUAUAACAAAGGUGUCCGAAAGUGAACCUGAAGAGGGGGUCAUUUAACGGAUCUGGGACGGGGGGGAGCGCGGCUUGAAUCUAGGUAACCGGAAGGCCCCGUGCAGCGAGUGAGCCCUCGCCGCUCAACCCUUGCAAACCCACUGUGCACAUUUGUCGGCGGAGGGCCCAGUCAAUGGGCCCCGAGCCGGACCCACAAACUCCAAGCAUUAAAAGAAUGACUAGCGGACGUUGUGCCGUCUAAACUUUAACAACUUUCAACAACGGAUCUCUUGGCUCUCGCAUCGAUGAAGAACGCAGCGAAAUGCGAUAAGUAAUGUGAAUUGCAGAAUUCAGUGAAUCAUCGAAUCUUUGAACGCACCUUGCGCUCCUUGGUAUUCCGAGGAGCAUGCCUGUUUGAGUGUCUUGAAGUCAUCAACCUCUCCCGUUUUGCGACGGGUCCAGGUUGGAGCCUGGGGGCUUGCGGCCGCGAGGCUGCUCCCCUCAAAUGCAUCGGUUGGGCCUGCGGGUCGGACUCGGUUGGGCGUUGUACCAUCCUCGCUCUUAUUCCGAGAUGUUCCCCUAUUAAUGUGCCCUCCCACGACCGCCCCGUCUGGAGUCGGCGGUCAAAGCUUUUGAAGCACUUUGAAAUCUGACCUCAAAUCAGGUAGGACUACCCGCUGAACUUAAGCAUAUCAAUAAGCGGAGAAAGGCGAAUCGCGCCGCUAAC
RNAcentral lists this ribosomal RNA (790 nucleotides) under uncultured fungus. RNAcentral describes it as "eukaryotic LSU rRNA". The stretch from base 334 to 487 matches the Rfam family "5.8S ribosomal RNA". The record is from RNAcentral. Lineage: Eukaryota; Fungi.